AAGUCGAGCGAUGAAAUCUUGACAGAUCCCUUCGGGGUGAAGAUAAGAUGGAUUAGCGGCGGACGGGUGAGUAACACGUGAGUAACCUGCCUUAGACAUUGGGAUAGCCUCGGGAAACCGGGAUUAAUACCAAAUGAAAUCAUAGGUGCCCAUGCACUAAUGAUCAAAACUCCGGUGGUCUAAGAUGGACUCGCGUCCCAUUAGCUAGUUGGUGAGGUAACGGCCCACCAAGGCGACGAUGGGUAGCCGGCCUGAGAGGGUGAACGGCCACAUUGGAACUGAGAAACGGUCCAAACUCCUACGGGAGGCAGCAGUGGGGAAUAUUGCACAAUGGAGGGAACUCUGAUGCAGCGACGCCGCGUGAACGAUGAAGGCUUUCGAGUCGUAAGGUUCUUUUAUAUGGGAAGAUAAUGACGGUACCAUAAGAAAAAGCCCCGGCUAACUACGUGCCAGCAGCCGCGGUAAUACGUAGGGGGCUAGCGUUGUCCGGAAUCACUGGGCGUAAAGGGUUCGCAGGCGGAAAUGCAAGUCAGAUGUAAAAGGCAGUAGCUUAACUACUGUAAGCAUUUGAAACUGCAUAUCUUGAGAAGAGUAGAGGUAAGUGGAAUUUUUAGUGUAGCGGUGAAAUGCGUAGAUAUUAAAAAGAAUACCGGUGGCGAAGGCGACUUACUGGGCUCAUUCU
Molecule: ribosomal RNA, 682 nt
Filed under: uncultured Eubacteriales bacterium
Lineage: Bacteria; Bacillati; Bacillota; Clostridia; Eubacteriales
Description: bacterial SSU rRNA
Rfam family: Bacterial small subunit ribosomal RNA
Source: RNAcentral